This 453-nucleotide ribosomal RNA is filed under the name Triticum aestivum (bread wheat). RNAcentral describes it as "partial small subunit ribosomal RNA". Lineage: Eukaryota; Viridiplantae; Streptophyta; Magnoliopsida; Poales; Poaceae. The record is from RNAcentral.
AUGGAUGGUAAUUGGGAUAUGAAUGAAAUCAUGUAUUCUUUUGAGAAGGAAGGGGGUAAUGAUAGACCAAACCACUUCCUGCAAAGUUUCAGAGAUGUUGUAGCUGAAUGUAAUCUGUCGGACCAUGGUUUCAUUGGGGAUAAAUUCACAUGGCACCGAGAUCUUACCAGAGAAUGCUUAGAUCAUUCACUUGUAAAUGAGGGAUGGAAUAAAAUGUUUCCAGGAGCUGUCUUGGAUCAUAUUGACUAUUAUAAGUCAGAUCAAAGGCUGAUCACGAAACUGCAUGAUAAAAUUACUCAAGAAGCAGCGGGCCAAGCGGUGCUUCACUUCGAGGCACGUUGGCUCAAGGAGGAGAAAGUUUGUGAUGUAGUCGAACAAUCCUGGCAGUCUAUGAAAGGGAAUAUGGGACCUGCGGAAAAGCUUGCUUUGGUACAUAAACAACUGCAUGUAUGA